CUGCGCAAAAAUUCUUGCAAUAAUGAAAAUCUGUGCAAAAUUCCUCAAUUAUAAAAAAGUGCAAAUAACUUUUUUAAGAAUCUGCACAAAAUGCCUUUGUGAAACAAUAACCAUGCAGAUUUCUGACCCUCCUAUUUGCCAAAAACGCUUUCUGACUGCAGAAAUCCCUGGUCUGCCGUAAAUUUUUGAUAUAAAAUAUCCAACAUUUCUGUGCAAAAAAUGUUUCCGGCGCAAAAUAAAACUUUGCAGUCUUAUCUGGAAAGGCAAGAUUCCAGAUGGCAGGGAGGUUGAUUAAACUUCGAGGGAUUGAUGGAACACCAAGUUGUGACAAGCUGGCGAAGGCCUUCUGUUCAAACGGUUUAAGGUAGUUCUACCAGUUCAGACACAAACCACUCCAGCUGGAAUUCCAUAUUGGAAUGAACGUGUAUGCAUUUCCACAUCGUUUAUUAAGGUUGCUGCAACAUAAUCCCAGCAACCAUUAAAUUACAUGUACAUAUAUACAAAAUAAUUUACUGAUGGGCCUCCUCAGUUUUCUGGACAAAUUGCCAAAAUCAGAUCAUGAGAUACGUUCAUCUUUAUCACUCUUCGCAGGCCUUAAAAUAUCGGUCGGUCACGGACAUUGUCCGACCCAUUCGUGAAAUUGUCCGACGUAGAAAGGAAACCACCGGACAUUCUGUCCGACCUAAGUGAAACUGAGGUUUAUUGUUUGUCCGACCCGAGUGUAUUGGUGUCCGACCAAAUUAUCGGCUUUGUCCGACGUAAAUCAAAAUGUACCCUAGCCCAGGACUAGAGGCUUGUACUGGUUAAAUGGAAAAUCAGAGUAGCCUACUAUUGUAUAAAAGGUCAACUGGAAAUGUUGUUUUAACGUAGUCGAGCACGGUGCGGCGAGCGAAAUGGUGAAGUGGAAAACGGGCUUAAGUUGUCGAAGUCUUUUUGAUACUGCUGUUCUGGAAAGCAAGUUAAUUUUGGCUUGGAAAUAAGUAUGAAAGAAACAAAUUAUUUAAUAUCUUUACAACAUUUACCGUUUAUUCAUUUGUGUCAUUCAGACUUAUUUCCGAGCCAAAAAUGAACUGAAGGUCAUCGGACAUAUGUCCUACCCAAACUCAACGUCAUCGUACAUUUUGUCAGACGGCCCUGGAAAAUAUAUUUUAAGGCCUGCUCUUCGUCG
Molecule: non-coding RNA, 1168 nt
Organism: Paramuricea clavata
Lineage: Eukaryota; Metazoa; Cnidaria; Anthozoa; Malacalcyonacea; Plexauridae
Source: the annotation of a GenBank genome assembly